GCGAGAGUAGUUCAGUGGCAGAACGCUAGCCUUCCAAGCUGGUCACGAGGGUUCGAUUCCCUUCUCUCGCUCCA
Molecule: transfer RNA, 74 nt
Filed under: Candidatus Omnitrophota bacterium
Lineage: Bacteria; Pseudomonadati; Candidatus Omnitrophota
Description: tRNA-Gly
Rfam family: tRNA
About the family: Transfer RNA (tRNA) molecules are approximately 80 nucleotides in length. Their secondary structure includes four short double-helical elements and three loops (D, anti-codon, and T loops).
Source: RNAcentral